This 465-nucleotide ribosomal RNA is filed under the name Vreelandella stevensii. Its description in RNAcentral is "partial 16S ribosomal RNA". It matches the Rfam family "Bacterial small subunit ribosomal RNA", at positions 338 to 795 of the family's 1533-position model. The record is from RNAcentral. Lineage: Bacteria; Pseudomonadati; Pseudomonadota; Gammaproteobacteria; Oceanospirillales; Halomonadaceae.
CCUACGGGGGGCUGCAGUGGGGAAUAUUGGACAAUGGGGGGAACCCUGAUCCAGCCAUGCCGCGUGUGUGAAGAAGGCCCUCGGGAUGUAAAGCACUUUCAGUGAGGAAGAACGCCUGGUGGUUAAUACCCAUCAGGAAAGACAUCACUCACAGAAGAAGCACCGGCUAACUCCGUGCCAGCAGCCGCGGUAAUACGGAGGGUGCGAGCGUUAAUCGGAAUUACUGGGCGUAAAGCGCGCGUAGGUGGCUUGAUAAGCCGGUUGUGAAAGCCCCGGGCUCAACCUGGGAACGGCAUCCGGAACUGUCAAGCUAGAGUGCAGGAGAGGAAGGUAGAAUUCCCGGUGUAGCGGUGAAAUGCGUAGAGAUCGGGAGGAAUACCAGUGGCGAAGGCGGCCUUCUGGACUGACACUGACACUGAGGUGCGAAAGCGUGGGUAGCAAACAGGAUUAGAUACCCUUGUAGUC